RNAcentral lists this ribosomal RNA (253 nucleotides) under uncultured bacterium. RNAcentral describes it as "partial 16S ribosomal RNA". It matches the Rfam family "Bacterial small subunit ribosomal RNA", at positions 524 to 776 of the family's 1533-position model. The record is from RNAcentral.
UACGAAGGGGGCUAGCGUUGCUCGGAAUCACUGGGCUUAAAGGGCGCGUAGGCGGGCCAUCAAGUCAGGGGUGAAAUCCUCCAGCUUAACUGGAGAACUGCCUUUGAUACUGAUGGUCUCGAGUAAGGUAGGGGCAUGCGGAACUGAUGGUGGAGCGGUGAAAUGUGUUGAUAUCAUCAGGAACUCCGGUGGCGAAGGCGGCAUGCUGGACCUUCACUGACGCUGAGGCGCGAAAGCUAGGGGAGCGAACGGG